RNAcentral lists this ribosomal RNA (411 nucleotides) under Triticum aestivum (bread wheat). RNAcentral describes it as "partial small subunit ribosomal RNA". Lineage: Eukaryota; Viridiplantae; Streptophyta; Magnoliopsida; Poales; Poaceae. The record is from RNAcentral.
AUGUGGCAACAUGAGCCUUUUUCUCGGAUCAAGCGGUCACCAAAACUUAUGGAAAAUUUCCGUAAGAUUAUGUCUAAAUGUAAUUUGUUUGAUUUGGGUUUUCAUGGAGUGCCUUGGACCUAUAACAAUAAGCAGGAAGGUAACAAAAAUGUGAAGGUGCGGCUGGACCGGGCGGUGGUAUGCCCUCAAUGGUCUUCUAUCUUUCGUGACUGCAAGGUAUCAGAUAUUACCAGCUCCAGGUCAGAUCAUUGCCCUCUUCUUAUUGAAUUGAUGGGUGCUCCUUGCUCUGGCGCAUUUAUUAAACAUUUGAAAUAUGAAGCGUAUUGGGAGAGGGAAAAGGUGGCGCUGCAAGUGCAGAUUGACUCGUGUUGGAAUAAAAAUGCUAGAGUCAAUUCUGGGAGAUGUUGCUAA